UACGUAGGUGGCAAGCGUUGUCCGGAAUCACUGGGCGUAAAGCGCGCGCAGGCGGCGAUCUACGUCUGGGGUGAAAGCCCGGAGCUCAACUCCGGGACUGCCUUGGAUACGGGAUCGCUUGAGGAUUGGAGAGGCAAGGGGAAUUCCACGUGUAGCGGUGAAAUGCGUAGAUAUGUGGAGGAACACCUGUGGCGAAGGCGCCUUGCUGGCCAAUUUCUGACGCUGAGGCGCGAAAGCGUGGGGAGCGAACGGG
Molecule: ribosomal RNA, 253 nt
Filed under: uncultured bacterium
Lineage: Bacteria
Description: partial 16S ribosomal RNA
Rfam family: Bacterial small subunit ribosomal RNA
Source: RNAcentral